This 503-nucleotide ribosomal RNA is filed under the name uncultured bacterium. RNAcentral describes it as "partial 16S ribosomal RNA". It matches the Rfam family "Bacterial small subunit ribosomal RNA", at positions 29 to 523 of the family's 1533-position model. The record is from RNAcentral.
AUUGAACGCUGGCGGCAUGCCUUACACAUGCAAGUCGAACGGCAGCACGGGUGCUUGCACCUGGUGGCGAGUGGCGAACGGGUGAGUAAUACAUCGGAACGUACCUUAUCGUGGGGGAUAACGCAGCGAAAGCUGUGCUAAUACCGCAUACGCCCUGAGAGGGGGAAAGCGGGGGAUCGAAAGACCUCGCGCGAUUAGAGCGGCCGAUGCCUGAUUAGCUAGUUGGUGGGGUAAAAGCCCACCAAGGCGACGAUCAGUAGCUGGUCUGAGAGGACGAUCAGCCACACUGGGACUGAGACACGGCCCAGACUCCUACGGGAGGCAGCAGUGGGGAAUUUUGGACAAUGGGGGCAACCCUGAUCCAGCAAUGCCGCGUGAGUGAAGAAGGCCUUCGGGUUGUAAAGCUCUUUUGUCAGGGAAGAAACACCGGCUCUAACACAGUCCGGGAAUGACGGUACCUGAAGAAUAAGCACCGGCUAACUACGUGCCAGCAGCCGCCGUAA